GCAAGUCGAACGGUAACAGGAAGCAGCUUGCUGCUUCGCUGACGAGUGGCGGACGGGUGAGUAAUGUCUGGGAAACUGCCUGAUGGAGGGGGAUAACUACUGGAAACGGUAGCUAAUACCGCAUAACGUCGCAAGACCAAAGAGGGGGACCUUCGGGCCUCUUGCCAUCAGAUGUGCCCAGAUGGGAUUAGCUAGUAGGUGGGGUAACGGCUCACCUAGGCGACGAUCCCUAGCUGGUCUGAGAGGAUGACCAGCCACACUGGAACUGAGACACGGUCCAGACUCCUACGGGAGGCAGCAGUGGGGAAUAUUGCACAAUGGGCGCAAGCCUGAUGCAGCCAUGCCGCGUGUAUGAAGAAGGCCUUCGGGUUGUAAAGUACUUUCAGCGGGGAGGAAGGCGAUGCGGUUAAUAACCGCGUCGAUUGACGUUACCCGCAGAAGAAGCACCGGCUAACUCCGUGCCAGCAGCCGCGGUAAUACGGAGGGUGCAAGCGUUAAUCGGAAUUACUGGGCGUAAAGCGCACGCAGGCGGUCUGUCAAGUCGGAUGUGAAAUCCCCGGGCUCAACCUGGGAACUGCAUCCGAAACUGGCAGGCUUGAGUCUCGU
Molecule: ribosomal RNA, 606 nt
Filed under: Kosakonia sp.
Lineage: Bacteria; Pseudomonadati; Pseudomonadota; Gammaproteobacteria; Enterobacterales; Enterobacteriaceae
Description: bacterial SSU rRNA
Rfam family: Bacterial small subunit ribosomal RNA
Source: RNAcentral